Molecule: ribosomal RNA, 458 nt
Filed under: uncultured bacterium
Lineage: Bacteria
Description: bacterial SSU rRNA
Rfam family: Bacterial small subunit ribosomal RNA
Source: RNAcentral
GAUGAACGCUAGCGGCAGGCCUAACACAUGCAAGUCGAGGGGUAACCAGAAUAAUAGCAAUAUUAUUUUGGCUAGACCGGCGCACGGGUGCGUAACACGUAUGCAACCUACCUUAUACAGGAGGAUAACUCCGAGAAAUCGGGGCUAAUAUUCCAUAACACAGUGAAGUGGCAUCAUUUUAUUGUUAAAGCUGAGGCGGUAUAAGAUGGGCAUGCGUCCAAUUAGCUAGUUGGUGAGGUAAUGGCUCACCAAGGCUACGAUUGGUAGGGGUUCUGAGAGGAUGAUCCCCCACACUGGUACUGAGACACGGACCAGACUCCUACGGGAGGCAGCAGUGAGGAAUAUUGCGCAAUGGACGAAAGUCUGACGCAGCCAUGCCGCGUGCAGGAUGAAGGCCCUAUGGGUUGUAAACUGCUUUUGUACGGGAAUAACCCUUCUACGUGUAGAAGGCUGAAGUR